This is a non-coding RNA of Pteropus alecto (black flying fox), 145 nucleotides long. Lineage: Eukaryota; Metazoa; Chordata; Mammalia; Chiroptera; Pteropodidae. The record is from Rfam.
ACCCCCUGGCUAUAGGCAAAGAGACACCUGAUUUGUUGUGAUGCUCUUAUAUCAGUCGGGUGCAAAGCAGACAUACAGUCCUUUGUUUAUCCUAGCUUGAUGCCUGGGUUGGUGGCUAGAGCUAUUUUAUGCCUGGGGCACAUAA